Molecule: ribosomal RNA, 484 nt
Filed under: uncultured bacterium
Lineage: Bacteria
Description: partial 16S ribosomal RNA
Rfam family: Bacterial small subunit ribosomal RNA
Source: RNAcentral
GACGAACGCUGGCGGCGUGCUUAACACAUGCAAGUCGAACGGAAAGGCCCUGCUUUUGUGGGGUGCUCGAGUGGCGAACGGGUGAGUAACACGUGAGUAACCUGCCCUUGACUUUGGGAUAACUUCAGGAAACUGGGGCUAAUACCGGAUAGGAGCUCCUGCUGCAUGGUGGGGGUUGGAAAGUUUCGGCGGUUGGGGAUGGACUCGCGGCGUAUCAGCCUGUUGGUGGGGGAGUGGCUUACCAAGGCUUUGACGGGUAGCCGGCCUGAGAGGGUGACCGGCCACAUUGGGACUGAGAUACGGCCCAGACUCCUACGAGAGGCAGCGGUGGGGAAUAUUGCACAAUGGGCGGAAGCCUGAUGCAGCAACGCCGCGUGCGGGAUGACGGCCUUCGGGUUGUAAACCGCUUUCGCCUGUGACGAAGCGUGAGUGACGGUAAUGGGUAAAGAAGCACCGGCUAACUACGUGCCAGCCGCCGCCGUAA